This 2336-nucleotide long non-coding RNA is filed under the name Gallus gallus (chicken). RNAcentral describes it as "lncRNA (ENSGALG00010023599.1)". The record is from RNAcentral. Lineage: Eukaryota; Metazoa; Chordata; Aves; Galliformes; Phasianidae.
AAAACCUCAAAAAUGAAAAUUUAGUUAUAUAUUUAAUAUUAUAAUACAUAAAUAUAUUUAGUUAUAUAUUUAAAAUAUAAUGUAUUUAGUUAUAUAAUACAGAUAUGGCAAUUUUAAGAUCAAAUUUUAUAUGACUCAUUUAUUUUAUUUCUAGUAUUUAUUAUGCAUUUUCUGAACAGUAGUCUAGGAGUGUUUUAAACUGUUGAAAAUGCGAGAUGCAUCAUUCUUUUAAUUUUGCUAAAGGCUUGUUUUUUACCCUAAGAAUCCCUAGAGCACAUCUUCUAAGCUUUGUUUGGGUGAAGUUUUAUGUCCUCAGAGCAAAACAUUGCAAACAGAAUGAUACUAGUUGUGAUUAAUAUGCUGUGUAUGGGGACAUCUGAAAUCGUAGGAGUUCUCAGAUUUGCCUCUGCAAGAGCCAAAAUGCACUGACUAGGUGUUUUAAUAUGAGACCAGGUUUGUUUGUUUUUGACAAAGGACAGAGACAGCUUCCUGAGUACUAAACUUAUGUGCAGCAACUUGGAUCAUGAGAAUUAAUCUGGUAGCAUAUCUAAUGAUACAAGCUGUUCCAUGUAGGAGACAGGAGUCCCUCUUCUACAAAUAGCUUUUCAAAACUGGCUCUUAGACACAUGCAACUAACCCUACACAUUUAUGCCUAUAGCUACUAGCAAUCUGAAUUGCAACACAUGCAAGACUCUCCCAUACACAAAGAAUGCCUAUUACACGGUUCUGUUAUUUCACAUAGCCAGAACUUCAACACAGAAAAAUGUUACAUAUACGUUUCUGAGUUUGAGACAUGUGAGCAUGAUAAAUACAGAAUAUUCUGAAACUAUCAAAAAAAAAAACCAGCUCAGUGUCAAGUAUAAGGGUGAUGAGCUGUGCUCCUUCAAAGUAGAGCACUGAUACAGCAUUCCCUCCUGCCUAUAGGCCAUAGGGAUCUAUGCUGGUUUCCUGCUAAGGUACAGCUGGGUUUAUCUGAGAAUUCUUCUGUUCUUGAUUCAUGGCAUUAUUUUUUUUUGGUCUUGCUUUAUCAGUCUGAAUCUGUAUUGUGAUUGUUGGGCUGCAUCUAAUAGUGGUUACUCUCUCUGAAUGUAACCUGUGAUUUUGUUUUCUGGCUUGGCCUUGGACCCAAUUUGUCACCAUGGAUGUGUCUGUUGAAUCUGGCUGUUUUCCCUGGCUCUGUCCUGCUUGGGUGUUGUGAGGCUAGAUCUCGGCUAGUGAGGCCCUUGCCCUGCUGUCUGUGGUAUCAGGUUUAAGUCUGCAUUCCUUACGGAGCAGCUGAUUCUGCAGGCAGUUCUGCACUUGUACAACUGCUUUUAUUUCUUGCACGUUGAUCUCUAGACUUUCUCUAAGAGCCAUCUAAGGAGUCAGAGCUAUUGCUGAAGUCUAGCUAUGUGAUUUCAAGUACUUCUCUAUUACUCUCAAAAGCCUAUUACAUUCUUAAAUAAGGUAUGCAAGUAGAUAUCACUUGAUGUACUUUUAACAAAUGUUUGCUAGUUAUUAAUAUCCCUACUGAAAUUUCAAUGUUUACAAAUACUCAUUUAAGUACCUCAGGAAACUGUUAGUAAGCUGCUGUCUUUAUCCCAAGACGUUCCUGUCUUGCUCCAAUUUACAGGAGGGAGAGGAGGUUCUUUGAAAUAUGUAUACCCGGCGUGAGAUUAAGAAACAACGGUUCAGACGUUGGUCCGACCAGCUUAUAAAAUCCUUAAUAAGGGGGAUGGGGAAAGGGAGGACAGACACUAUUACGGAUUGGGGUGAUGGGGAAGGGAAGGCGGGCGAUAGAAAAGAUAGAAAUAAGCAAGAAUUGUGUAAAGCGGGGAUAGUCACCACCAGGAUCCGGCAGUAGUCCCGUUGCACGACGUUCCGAUGGUCCGGGGCAAAAGCGCAGGGGAAGAGCAGCAGCGGUGUGGCCGGUCUUAGGCAGCGAGAAGGUGCAGGCAGGUACCGAGUAGGUCCAGGAAGAAGUCUGGGCGGAAGCAGCAGGUCUCCGGUAGCAGGCCCUGGAGAGUCAGUCAGCAUGCAGGCCUUUUGUAGUGAGGGAUCUGAUGGCAGACACCUUCUCGGAGGGGUGAGCAGCAGCAGAGAGGCCAUCCUUAGGCAGCAAGCAGGCCUCUUCUAGAGUUAAUGAAUGCUUUCCAACUUCGUAUGCAAAGGGUAAAUUGCUCUGUGAUCCGGGUGGAGUACAAUGGAAGAGCCUUCCCAGCCUUUGUGUGUGAGUUUCCCUGCAAGGAGAUAAGAGCCCAUGGUGAGCUGAGAUAUACCCACAUCCCUUCCUGGCAGACAGUGAACUGGUCUGAAAAGAAACAAAGGUUCAUGGUAAGAGAGCAACAGCUUAAGAG